CAAUAGCGUAUAUUAAAGUUGCUGCAGUUAGAAAGCUCGUAGUUGCAUUUCCGAGGCAAGGGAUUAGUCCGACCUUUGGUGGGUAUUUAAUCCUCUUGCCUCGUCCUUGAGUGGUGCUUCUUGGUAUUAAGUUAUCGAGGAGAUAGCCGCUCAUCGUUUACUGUGAGAAAAUUAGAGUGUUCAAAGCAGGCUUAUGCCGUUGAAUAUAUUAGCAUGGAAUAAUAAGAUAGGACCUCGGUACUAUUUUGUUGGUUUGAGAACCAAGGUAAUGAUGAAUAGGGACAGUUGGGGGUAUUCGUAUUCAGUUGUCAGAGGUGAAAUUCUUAGAUUUACGGAAGACGAACUACUGCGAAAGCAUUUACCAAGGAUGUUUUCAUUAA
This 380-nucleotide ribosomal RNA is filed under the name uncultured eukaryote. Its description in RNAcentral is "partial 18S ribosomal RNA". It matches the Rfam family "Eukaryotic small subunit ribosomal RNA", at positions 592 to 976 of the family's 1831-position model. The record is from RNAcentral.